Molecule: ribosomal RNA, 292 nt
Filed under: uncultured bacterium
Lineage: Bacteria
Description: partial 16S ribosomal RNA
Rfam family: Archaeal small subunit ribosomal RNA
Source: RNAcentral
GUGCAGCAGCCGCGGUAAUACCGGCAGCCCAAGUGAUGGCCGCUGUUAUUGGGCCUAAAGCGUCCGUAGCUGGCCGCACAAGUCCGUCGGGAAAUCCGCCCGCUCAACGGGCGGCCGUCCGGCGGAACCUGUGUGGCUUGGGACCGGGAGGCCUGAGGGGUACGAUCGGGGUAGGAGUGAAAUCCCAUAAUCCCGCACGGACCACCGAUGGCGAAAGCACUUCGAGAAAACGGAUCCGACAGUGAGGGACGAAAGCCAGGGUCUCCAACCGGAUUAGAUACCCGAGUAGUCC